Molecule: ribosomal RNA, 253 nt
Filed under: uncultured bacterium
Lineage: Bacteria
Description: partial 16S ribosomal RNA
Rfam family: Bacterial small subunit ribosomal RNA
Source: RNAcentral
UACGUACGGGGCAAGCGUUGUCCGGAUUUAUUGGGCGUAAAGAGCGUGUAGGCGGUUUGGUAGGUCCGCUGUGAAAACUCGAGGCUCAACCUCGAGACGCCGGUGGAAACCAUCAGGCUAGAGUCCGGAAGAGGAGAGUGGAAUUCCUGGUGUAGCGGUGAAAUGCGCAGAUAUCAGGAAGAACACCCGUGGCUAAGGCGGCUCUCUAGUACGGUACUGACGCUGAGACGCGAAAGCGUGGGGAGCGAACAGG